Xenia sp. Carnegie-2017 is the source of this 217-nucleotide long non-coding RNA. RefSeq lists it as uncharacterized. Lineage: Eukaryota; Metazoa; Cnidaria; Anthozoa; Malacalcyonacea; Xeniidae. The transcript has 3 exons. The record is from RefSeq and is a predicted model, not a curated record.
UAUCAACGCAAAGUAUAUUAAGUUCACAAUGAUAGGGUGACAUUAUUACACAAUUUACUACACUUUCCUUAUUUCAUUAUAAAGACGUGGCUUGGCAAACACCUUACAUUACACUUAUACAUAUGGCAGUGUCAUUUUGGCUACAUAGAAAAUGUUGAAAAUGAUCUAAUUUAACUUUACUUGUUGUCUUUGUAAAUAUAUUUACUAAGUUAUCUUC